ACUCCUACGGGAGGCAGCAGUAAGGAAUAUUGGGCAAUGGGCGCAAGCCUGACCCAGCCAUGCCGCGUGCAGGAUUGACGGCCCUAUGGGUUGUAAACUGCUUUUGUAUGGGAAAAAACCCCCGGUCGUGUACCGGGGCUGAUGUUACCAUAAGAAUAAGCAUCGGCUAACUCCGUGCCAGCAGCCGCGGUAAUACGGAGGAUGCAAGCGUUAUCCGGAUUUAUUGGGUUUAAAGGGUGCGUAGGCGGGAUAAUAAGUCAGUGGUGAAAGCCUACAGCUUAACUGUAGAACUGCCAUUGAUACUGUUAACCUUGAGUACAAUUGAAGUGGGCGGAAUGUGUCAUGUAGCGGUGAAAUGCUUAGAUAUGACACAGAACACCGAUAGCGAAGGCAGCUCACUAAACUGUAACUGACGCUGAGGCACGAAAGCGUGGGGAUCAAACAGGAUUAGAUACCCUGGUAGUC
This 465-nucleotide ribosomal RNA is filed under the name uncultured bacterium. RNAcentral's name for it is "bacterial SSU rRNA". It matches the Rfam family "Bacterial small subunit ribosomal RNA", at positions 335 to 795 of the family's 1533-position model. The record is from RNAcentral.